AAUCCUCCCCCAACCUCUUCCCCGCCGCCCACCGCCUCAACUGCUCGCACUCUCCCCUCCCCUCCCCGCCGCGGCACCCAGCCGACCGACCCCUUCCCGACCCCCCCGUGGCGGAUCCGGCGAGCGGCGGUCUCCUCCGACGCCUUGUCCGCUACCUGGUUCAGUUUGGUGAUCACAAAUUUUGCAGUCCUGAGGCUUUGUUGUCAUUAAAGGGUACAUACAAAAAUAAGUCAGCAGCUAGCGAGCACCUUAAAGCUGUCUGCUGUUAUGGCUUCCAUGGCGACCAACGAGAACCUCCCACCAACUGUCAUCAGGCAAUUGACUAAAGAACUGAAGAACCUUGAUGACUCACCUCCAGAAGGGAUCAAAGUUAUUGUUAAUGACGAUGACUUCGCCACUAUUUUUGCUGAUAUUGAGGGCCCUGCUGGAACUCCAUAUGAGAAUGGAAUAUUCCGGAUGAAGCUAAUAUUAUCUCGUGACUUCCCUCAGUCACCUCCAAAAGGAUUUUUCACGACUAAAAUUUUCCAUCCGAACAUUGCAACUAGUGGUGAGAUAUGUGUUAACACAUUGAAGAAGGAUUGGAAUCCUAGCCUUGGAUUAAGGCAUGUUCUGCUGGUAGUGAGAUGCCUCCUGAUUGAGCCAUUUCCUGAAUCUGCCCUGAAUGAACAAGCUGGGAAGUUGCUGCUUGAGAACUAUGAGGAGUAUGCACGGCAUGCAAGGCUAUAUACCAGUAUCCAUGCUCUCAGACCCAAGAGCAAGUCCAAGAGUGGAGCUAUCUCUGAGUCAACGGCAGCUCUGAAUAAGGGCCAGCCUCAUACUGUUCUUGCGCCAAUAUCUACCUCUACCGGCACAAAAGCAUUUGGCCCAAAUUCGCAGGACCGGAACGCUGCUCCUUCUGCUGUCUCAGGUGGAGCAUCGGCAGCGCCCAGGAAGGACGGGCCACUUGCCGUGAAAGUCCCCGUCGAUAAGAAGAAGAUGGAUGCGAGGAAGAAGAGUUUGAAGAGAUUAUAAUAUAUAAGCAAACCAAACUGUCAAUGCUCCUCAUAUUUGUUCUGUACUUAGUUGUCUGGCGGUGCCAGAGUCCCAGAAAUAACGAGAAGAAACUGGUUAUGGUUGUCUGCGAGGGAAGGAUUGCUUCUCUUCUGUUCGUGCCCAACUAUUGGACCCUGUUGAGCCGAAACUGUGGAGGCAGAAUAAUUAUGCGCUGCUGGGCCUCUCCUGGUCCUGUAUACUUUACUAGUGCUGCUGUUCCGGCGUCUGUUUGUGAUUUAAUGGUUCGAUGUGAACUUGAAUGGCGGAGAAACAUUUUCUUCCCAAUAGGUGGUAGAGAUUUUUCUAUCUGAAAAGAAACAGUAAUUUUGCAAAGUCAUCAAACUUGGUGAUUUAGCUCUGGCUAUAUAUAUGCUCAUCAAAAUCAAGUGAUUUAAAC
RNAcentral lists this ribosomal RNA (1429 nucleotides) under Triticum aestivum (bread wheat). RNAcentral's name for it is "partial small subunit ribosomal RNA". Lineage: Eukaryota; Viridiplantae; Streptophyta; Magnoliopsida; Poales; Poaceae. The record is from RNAcentral.